RNAcentral lists this ribosomal RNA (253 nucleotides) under uncultured bacterium. Its description in RNAcentral is "partial 16S ribosomal RNA". It matches the Rfam family "Bacterial small subunit ribosomal RNA", at positions 524 to 776 of the family's 1533-position model. The record is from RNAcentral.
UACGGAGGGGGUUAGCGUUGUUCGGAAUGACUGGGCGUAAAGCGCGCGUAGGCGGAUCAUCAAGUCGGGGGUGAAAUCCCAGGGCUCAACCCUGGAACUGCCUUUCAUACUGGCAAUCUCGAGUCCGAGAGAGGUGAGUGGAAUUCCGAGUGUAGAGGUGAAAUUCGUAGAUAUUCGGAGGAACACCAGUGGCGAAGGCGGCUCACUGGCUCGAUACUGACGCUGAGGUGCGAAAGCGUGGGGAGCAAACAGG